CCUACGGGAGGCAGCAGUGGGGAAUCUUGCGCAAUGGGCGAAAGCCUGACGCAGCCAUGCCGCGUGUAUGAUGAAGGUCUUAGGAUUGUAAAAUACUUUCACCGGUGAAGAUAAUGACUGUAGCCGGAGAAGAAGCCCCGGCUAACUUCGUGCCAGCAGCCGCGGUAAUACGAAGGGGGCUAGCGUUGCUCGGAAUUACUGGGCGUAAGGGGAGCGUAGGCGGACAUUUAAGUCAGAGGUGAAAUCCCGGAGCUUAACUUCGGAACUGCCUUUGAUACUGGGUGUCUUGAGUGUGAGAGAGGUAUGUGGAACUCCGAGUGUAGAGGUGAAAUUCGUAGAUAUUCGGAAGAACACCAGUGGCGAAGGCGACAUACUGGCUCAUUACUGACGCUGAGGCUCGAAAGCGUGGGGAGCAAACAGGAUUAGAUACCCUGGUAGUCCACGCCGUAAACGAUGAUUGCUAGUUGUCGGGAAGCUUGCUUCUCGGUGACGCAGCUAACGCAUUAAGCAAUCCGCCUGGGGAGUACGGUCGCAAGAUUAAAACUCAAAGGAAUUGACGG
RNAcentral lists this ribosomal RNA (560 nucleotides) under uncultured bacterium. RNAcentral describes it as "bacterial SSU rRNA". It matches the Rfam family "Bacterial small subunit ribosomal RNA", at positions 338 to 916 of the family's 1533-position model. The record is from RNAcentral.